Long non-coding RNA from Leopardus geoffroyi (Geoffroy's cat), 360 nucleotides. RefSeq lists it as uncharacterized. The record is from RefSeq and is a predicted model, not a curated record. NCBI's taxonomy places the organism in Eukaryota, Metazoa, Chordata, Mammalia, Carnivora, Felidae. The transcript is spliced from 2 exons.
UCUAGAACCCCCACCACUAAAGAAGCCCUCGGGAGCCCUGUCCUAGGGGACCACGUGGGGCAUAAAGGAACUGAAAGGGCCCUCAUUUUGUCUUCAAAACCUAGGAGGGAAGAGGGGAAGAGAAUGGUGGCGUCCAGAACCCAGGACCUGCAGGCCUGAUGCCCCUCCCCACUCCCGUCUUAUAGUCACCCUGCCCAGGGCCACCUCUCUGCCUUGUCCCCAUCAGCUUUAGGGCCUUCCCGACAGAUGGAAAUGGUGCCUUCCUCCCCGUCUCUUCUACUGGAGUGUGCUCCCCUAGUGCCCAGCACGAUGUGGGCACAGAACGGGUACCCAGUAAACACCGGGAACCAUGUAAACAUA